GGAAAAAGAUGGAGAUGGUGCCUUGGGCCAUACUUAAAAAGGAACAUAUAAAACACGUUGAUGUGGCUGCCUUCAGUCUCCAUUAUCCAAGGUAGAGAGCACUGUGGUUGGUUGGUGUCUUAAUUUGGGCCAUGACUCCAUAUGCUAUUAAUUGGUACAUACAACGUCUAUAUAUAAAGAUAGUGUAAUUAAUAUUUCAUAUUUGCAAGAGGCCAAGAGCCUCAGACACUGUAAAAGAAAUGGGGUGGCUCAAUUCCUUCUUCUCUCCCUUGAAGAAACUAUGGUUGCGCGUCAAUUCUGCUCAAAAGAAGAGAAGAGGAAUAUACAUAUUAUACGAGGACGUGAAGUUAUGCCCAUACGAAGAUGUGCAUGUUUUGUGGUCUAUACUCGUCGAGUCUCAACGACACACUUUGCAACCCAAACAAUAAAAACUCUAUUUCAUUAUUGAUGUUUAGCUCUCUUUUAGUUAAGUGGUUCAUAUAUAUAUCGACUGUUCAUGCCCAAGGACGAGACAAAGGGAGAUACUUAGAAGCGACAUGAUUCAUUCAUACGUUUUCUCUCACUUGUACAUAAUCAUAAUAUCAAUACACAGAGAUUCUCUUUCCCAUAAGGUUCAUA
Long non-coding RNA from Raphanus sativus (radish), 618 nucleotides. RefSeq lists it as uncharacterized. The transcript is spliced from 2 exons. NCBI's taxonomy places the organism in Eukaryota, Viridiplantae, Streptophyta, Magnoliopsida, Brassicales, Brassicaceae. The record is from RefSeq and is a predicted model, not a curated record.